RNAcentral lists this non-coding RNA (31 nucleotides) under Rattus norvegicus (Norway rat). Lineage: Eukaryota; Metazoa; Chordata; Mammalia; Rodentia; Muridae. The record is from RNAcentral.
UGGGUCCUCGCUUACUGUAUUCCUCGACCUG